UGCAGUCGAACGAGAUUUUGCCUUUCGAGUCUUCGGAUGAGGAAGGUUGAUGAUAGUGGCGAAAGGGUGAGUAAUGCGUGGGUAAUCUACCUUGAAGUUGGGGAUACCCCUGCGAAAGUGGGGUUAAUACCGAAUGUGGUGAGUUUCCGCAUGGAGACGAAUCCAAAAGCGGGUCGCAAGACCUGUUGCUUUAAGAUGAGCCCACGUCCUAUCAGCUAGUUGGUGAGGUAACGGCUCACCAAGGCUUACGGGUAGCCGACCUGAGAGGGUGAUCGGCCACACUGGGACUGAGACACUGCCCAGACUCCUACGGGAGGCUGCAGUCGAGAAUCUUGGACAAUGCGCGAAAGCGUGAUCCAGCGACGCCGCGUGGAGGAUGAAGGUCUUCGGAUUGUAAACUCCUGUUGUCAGGGAGCAACCGGUGGUGUGCUAAUACCACAUCGCUCUGAUAGUACCUGACGAGAAAGCCACGGCUAACUCUGUGCCAGCAGCCGCGGUAAUACAGAGGUGGCAAGCGUUGUUCGGAUUUACUGGGCGUAAAGGGUGCGUAGGAGGUCGUGUGUGUCGGAUGUGAAAUCUUGCUGUUCAUCGGCAAAACUGCAUUCGAAACUACAUGGCUAGAGUGCAGGAGAGGAGAGCAGAAUUCUCGGUGUAGCGGUGAAAUGCGUUGAUAUCGAGAGGAAUGCCGGUGGUGAAGACGGCUCUCUGGACUGUAACUGACUCUGAGGCACGAAAGCUAGGGGAGCAAACAGGAUUAGAUACCCUGGUAGUCCUAGCCGUAAACGGUGUGCACUUGGUGUGGGGAGGAUUUAUCCCCUUCCGUGCCGGAGCUAACGCGUUAAGUGCACCGCCUGGGGGAGUACGGCCGCAAGGCUAAAACUCAAAGAAAUUGACGGGGGGCCCGCACAAGCGGUUGGAGCAUGUGGCUUUAAUUCGAUGCAACGCGAAGAACCUUACCAAGGCUUGACAUGCAAUUUGCACGCCCAGCGAAAGCUGGGCUCCU
RNAcentral lists this ribosomal RNA (1003 nucleotides) under uncultured bacterium. RNAcentral describes it as "bacterial SSU rRNA". It matches the Rfam family "Bacterial small subunit ribosomal RNA", at positions 56 to 1017 of the family's 1533-position model. The record is from RNAcentral.